Molecule: ribosomal RNA, 428 nt
Filed under: uncultured bacterium
Lineage: Bacteria
Description: partial 16S ribosomal RNA
Rfam family: Bacterial small subunit ribosomal RNA
Source: RNAcentral
GUAGGGAAUAUUGCGCAAUGGGGGAAACCCUGACGCAGCGACGCCGCGUGAGUGAUGAAGGCCUUCGGGUCGUAAAGCUCUGUUGCAGGGGAAUAAAAAAAUGAAGGUACCCUGUGAGGAAGGAUCGGCUAACUUCGUGCCAGCAGCCGCGGUAAGACGAGGGAUCCUAGCGUUGCUCGGAAUCAUUGGGCGUAAAGAGGGCGUAGGUGGCUUGGUAAGUCAGGUGUGAAAGCCCAGGGCUCAACCCUGGAAGUGCAUUUGAUACUGCUGAGCUUGAGUGUCGGAGAGGUUACCGGAAUACCUGGUGUAGUGGUGAAAUACGUAGAUAUCAGGUGGAACACCGGAGGCGAAGGCGACUACCUGGACUGAUACUGACACUGAGGUGCGAAAGCGUGGGGAGCAAACAGGAUUAGAAACCCUGGUAGUCC